GGCCUGCCGUUUAGGACUCUCGGCCCCACGACUAGGACCGUCCCAAACUUCCUGUUUCUUCCGGCCGCUCUGACCCCAGGGCUGCGGCUCCGAGAUAGCUCUGGGCCUGGAAGUGCAUGCUGGUGGAACAAGCCCAAGGGGGCUUUCAGUGUGGUCAAGGACGCGGACUACAAGAAAGAACCAAAGAACAAGGAGAGAGCGUGGACAUCAAGAGUCAGACUGCUGCAAGUAUGGGGUGAAUCUCGCAAGAAAUGCCCCUCUUGUCCCCGUCUCCUGGAGAAACUGCUAUUCAUUGAGCUCUCUGCUAUGGCCUGGGAUAGCAGUAGAAGAUGGCCUAUGUCGUUGGGCCCCUGCACCCAGGUGGGAGACCAGGAAGAAGCUCCUGGCUUUGGAUCGGCGCAGCUUCAGCCAUUGCGGCCAUCUGGGGAGUGGACAAGCGGAUGGAAGACCUCUCUCUCUGUCUCUACCUUUCUCUGUAACU
Non-coding RNA from Oryctolagus cuniculus (rabbit), 481 nucleotides. The record is from RefSeq and is a predicted model, not a curated record. Lineage: Eukaryota; Metazoa; Chordata; Mammalia; Lagomorpha; Leporidae.